Molecule: ribosomal RNA, 327 nt
Filed under: uncultured eukaryote
Lineage: Eukaryota
Description: partial 18S ribosomal RNA
Rfam family: Eukaryotic small subunit ribosomal RNA
Source: RNAcentral
CCCUUAGAUGUUCUGGGCCGCACGCGCGCUACACUGACGAAUGCAACGAGCUUAUAACCUUGGCCGAAAGGUCUGGGUAAUCUCCAAAUUUCGUCGUGAUGGGGAUAGAUUAUUGCAAUUAUUAAUCUUCAACGAGGAAUGCCUAGUAAGCGCAAGUCAUCAGCUUGCGUUGAUUACGUCCCUGCCCUUUGUACACACCGCCCGUCGCUCCUACCGAUUGAAUGGUCCGGUGAAGCGUUCGGACCGUGGCCUUUGGACGGUUCGCCGUCUGUUGGCUGCGGGAAGUUCGUUAAACCUUAUUAUUUAGAGGAAGGAGAANUCGUAACA